Molecule: transfer RNA, 143 nt
Filed under: Phocaeicola vulgatus
Lineage: Bacteria; Pseudomonadati; Bacteroidota; Bacteroidia; Bacteroidales; Bacteroidaceae
Also listed under: 1 other name
Description: tRNA-Ser
Source: RNAcentral
GGUGGUAUGGCUGAAUUAGUAGACGCUAAUUGAGUGUGGUUACUCGUAAGGUGAAAAUCCUUGCUAAGUGUUAGAUAGGUUGAAAAUAAAACCUGACAAUCUACAUCAAUCCUAUCAUGUGGGUUCAAGUCCCGCUACCACCU